AACCUGCCCAAGAGAUCGGGAUAACACCUGGAAACAGAUGCUAAUACCGGAUAACAACAGAUGAUGCCUAUCAACUGUUUAAAAGAUGGUUCUGCUAUCACUCUUGGAUGGACCUGCGGUGCAUUAGCUAGUUGGUAGGGUAACGGCCUACCAAGGCGAUGAUGCAUAGCCGAGUUGAGAGACUGAUCGGCCACAUUGGGACUGAGACACGGCCCAAACUCCUACGGGAGGCAGCA
This 236-nucleotide ribosomal RNA is filed under the name uncultured Lactobacillus sp. RNAcentral's name for it is "partial 16S ribosomal RNA". It matches the Rfam family "Bacterial small subunit ribosomal RNA", at positions 123 to 353 of the family's 1533-position model. Lineage: Bacteria; Bacillati; Bacillota; Bacilli; Lactobacillales; Lactobacillaceae. The record is from RNAcentral.